AUGAAUUGGAUGCAUCAACAGCAAGCCUCAGCAGACAUACCCCGGGAAAAACAGAGGAUUCCUUCAAACAGGCAAUGCUGGCGCGAAUUCGCGAUACAUCCUGUACGGGCUGUGGCAUGGGACACCUAUCCUUGUGAUCAUCAGCAUCCUCGCAUAUUUUUGCUUCUUGGAGCAAUUGCUGUGUUGAGGAGAUACUUGUGGAUAUACGCGGCGAUCCAGCUCCUCUUUGUUGUGUUCUUCACUCAUUUGUUCUACAGACAUCUGCAUCUGCAGGCGACACUGACAGUCGAGGAAGGCAUGCCCACAGAUAGGUUCAGAACAUUUGUCAACUCCUUUGGUAAAAGGAAAGAAUCGGAAUGGCCACGUGUGGUGCCCAAGAAGCUGUUUGUGUUCCUCUUCCUCGUAUGGAGUCAGGUCAGGCUGUGGCAUGCGACACCUAUCCUUGUGAUCUACGUGUGGAUAUACGCGGCGAUCCAGUUCCUCUUUGUUGUGUUCUUCACUCAUUUGUUCUACAGAUAUGCAAGCAAACCAGAGCAUACUCUGCUCACACCGCCUGAACUGCAACUGCUGGCUGUGAUAACCUUCGUGGGUUUCGGCGUGGGGAUGAUCGACAACUCCAUCAUCAUCGAAGUGCUCAGGUGGAGGACAAUGGCCCCGGCUCAGCCCCACCGCACUCGCAGGCCACCACGUGUCUCACAGCAGCAGAAGACGGCUCCGGCAGCCAGCCCAUGUUCUGGAUGCAAAAUCUUUCUGAGUUUUCUGUUGCAGCAUGUUGUGAGGAACCACGUACAAUGCUAUAUAGCAGCUCCUGAAAGAGGAUUCGGUAGCAUGUGUCAUGGUGUACAAACUAUGUCAGGCAUAUAUGGCUAUGCUCUGCUCUUGUCCAGGGCAGGGAGUAUGUAA
Molecule: ribosomal RNA, 903 nt
Filed under: Triticum aestivum (bread wheat)
Lineage: Eukaryota; Viridiplantae; Streptophyta; Magnoliopsida; Poales; Poaceae
Description: partial small subunit ribosomal RNA
Source: RNAcentral